Long non-coding RNA from Sapajus apella (tufted capuchin), 2593 nucleotides. RefSeq lists it as uncharacterized. NCBI's taxonomy places the organism in Eukaryota, Metazoa, Chordata, Mammalia, Primates, Cebidae. The record is from RefSeq and is a predicted model, not a curated record. The transcript has 2 exons.
UGGCAUCCUGGGGUAGGGAAGGCAUGUCAUCCUCAGGACCCUAUGGGCCUCCCAAGACACGUCUCCCAGUUCCCUCCCCUCACGAGGCAUCUCUGGCCGGGAAAGGCCAGUGUGCUCUGAAGUGCUCCCUGCAGCCUGAACUACGGCUCCACGCACACCUCACAUGGCGGAAACCGCUGAGUCCUAGAGCUCCUCCAUGGGCAGAGGCCAUGACUUUUCCACUGCUGUGGUCCAGAGCCCAGCAGGACACCUGACCCAUAGGAGGACCUGUUCGGGGAACAAGGCUGACCAACUGUAGAGUGUGGCCGUGAGGUUGAGAGAGGCCACUCCCAAGUGUCCUGAGUCAGCCUCAGGCCAGCCCAGGAAGCGCUUUAACCCCCGUGGAGUCAGCAGGUAUAAAUGGCUUACUUCCCGUCAAUGCCUUGGCCUGCUAAUCACCCUCAGGCUCUAACAACAGUCUCUGGUGCUAGACCCCAGGGGAAGAGUGAGAACUGGAGAGUCUUGGAUCUUCUCACAUCCAAACUGAAUUUGGGAUCUUGACUCCCUGGGGGUGUGUACUGGAGCCUGGGACAUUAGUCAAGGUGUUUUUUCACCCCUAGUGGUGGCACUGUGUGUCUAAAUGUGGCAGGAUGAAUAUAAGGCUGUUAAUAUUGCCUUUAAAGUGAGAAACCCAAAAUAAAAUGAGCUGUUUGUUCAUUGAUAUAAUUUGGUAGAUCUCAUACCUAUUCCUCAAUGUUUAUGGGGCAGGACUCCGGAGCUGCGGCUGUUCAGUAGGAAAGACCAAAAGCAAAUGGUAAACAAGAGAGAAGACACACAUGCAUGCACAAAUAAAAACAACAGCACCGUCACCGCCGCCACCGCCACCGCCGCUGCCACCGCCGCCGCUGCCACCACCGCCGCCACCAGCAAGCCAUAAAACGCUGGGCCUGAGGGGCUGCCCAGAGAGCCGCCCUGACUCUGAAUUCACAGGAGUCCUUGCAACAAACGCCACCCUUCUAAUCUAGAAGCGUAAGCCAGGGCAGAGCAUCGGUUACUUAUGGAAAACUCAAGAAUCAGAUCUGAAGUCUCUCCCGGCCUCUCGAGAGAAGAAAACAAAUCCAUUCCAUGGGCUACGGAAUGUCAGGUGAAACAACCUGGCCGCACUGCAUUUCUUAGAAGCAGAUAUUCUAUAAGAGAAACCAUCACAAGGGGUAACUCUAGAGCCUCGAGCGCUGAAGUCAUCAGCUGAGUUGAUGACUCUCCAAAUCUCCUUGGGCUGGGGUGUAAGAGCUGACAGAGGCAGCCUUGGCGUCCACCUCCUUCAGGCUCCUUGGCCAGGCAGGAGCUGUCAGGUCCACAUGCACACCUUCAACACUCCCCAAGCGAUGGCCAGCGCUGAAGCAGAAGCAACAGGAUGACAUCUGCUGGUGCAUCUGCAUCCAGGCCGGGGCACACGUGUGCUCUGGAGGUGCCCCUGCGGGAGGUGCUUCAGAGCAGCAGGGGGAAGAGUCUGGCUCAUGGAACACGUGGUGUUCCCUGCUCAGGGGAACUUUCCCACCUCCCUUCUUCCUCCUAUGUGCUUGCUCUGUGGGUCAUUCCUUCUCUUUUAGCCUUACUAGAAACAAUAUUCUUCCAACUGAAGAUGUAACUGAAGCCUGAAUUACAGUGCGGGAAAAUCAUUACAACAGCCUUUAAAAUGCUUGCCUAAGCUGAGCUCCUGAAGAAACUUGGACCUGUUUCCUUGACCAUGCCUUUAAUGUGUCUGCUGGCUCCUGGGAGUCCUCUUUUACAAUAACGUCCGCCAUUUUCCUAACUAAAGCAAGACCUGACCAACUGCCAAGUAGUCCUCCCCUUCCCCCCAGUGGAAGAAAUGGCUACUGCUGUUCAACACUGAGUCUGCCAGAGCAGCUCUGUGGGGCUCCACUGAAAACCUGCAGCAGAGAGGCCAGCGAUGGGGGCUGCUCAGAGUGCUUCCGAAUCUACUUGAGGUAAAUAUGUACCUGCAUGUAUCUCUUGCCCCACCCGCACCUGACAUCCUUGGCUCUGAGGCCCAGAAAGAGCUGAGGAGGUCAUGGAGGUCAUCAGUGCCCUGCUUGCUUUGAUACACCAUUAAGAAGACAGUCGUUCCUCUAACAGCCAUGCAACUGAACAGUGCCACCAAGUCAUACUGGUACCCUCUUCUUUAUCCCUUAAAGAAUACCCAGGAAGGAAAGAUAAUAAAAGGAAAUAAAGGACCAGAUCUUUUACCAUCCUCCUGCGUGGGUGAUCCAUCCUCUUCCUCUGUAACAUCAUUUCCCUAGGAUAGAAGGAAGGCCUUGUGAGUCUAUAAAGCAGGAAAAUGAGUCCACUGAUUGGCUGACGACAGAACUAAUCAUCUUAACGGCAUCUAACUCCAGGGCCUACAUUACUAGCAUAUAUUUUCAUCCGUGUUUAAUAUGCCUGAGAGGCUGACUAGAGGCAGAUCUUGCUUGGUGAGGCACCGUCUGCCUAUAGGGAUUAGAUCCGAGCCACAUUACCCAUAUAGGCUCAGAAUGGUCUGUCAGGAACACCCUUGUUAAUAGCUUAGCUGAUACUGUUUCUCUAACGUGGAAGUAAAAGUUACUAAAUGAAAGAG